Esox lucius (northern pike) is the source of this 412-nucleotide long non-coding RNA. RefSeq lists it as uncharacterized. Lineage: Eukaryota; Metazoa; Chordata; Actinopteri; Esociformes; Esocidae. The transcript is spliced from 3 exons. The record is from RefSeq and is a predicted model, not a curated record.
CACGGCACCGUGGCGGCUAGCACAGCCUGCCGCCCGAAACGAGGGAAGGACAGAGGUUGGCGACGAGAGGCAGGGGGGGUGAGAGGACUUGGCCAUGAACAAACCCUACAUGGACAGAAGGGAUCAUGGGAAUGUCCCCAGCUAACAGGGGUGUCCAGUGAAGAAUGACCCAACUGCCUGAUGUUUCCAGGACAACAUCAGGACUGGAGAUCACAGGAGAUGCCUGUGAUUCAAUCACUAGACACAGAUGCAGAAAGAAAUGACUGGGCCCAGGAUGAUGGAGGACCAUGGGGGACGAAGAAUGUCUGAACUCACAACUGUACGUUUCUCUGAAAAGGUGUCUGCUAGAUGAUUUAAAUGCAAACAGCAAAGUUAGUUCAUUUUCCUAACAGCACAGUCUGGGCUGACACAA